RNAcentral lists this long non-coding RNA (379 nucleotides) under Helianthus annuus (common sunflower). Its description in RNAcentral is "sRNA HanXRQr2_Chr02g0086431". The record is from RNAcentral. Lineage: Eukaryota; Viridiplantae; Streptophyta; Magnoliopsida; Asterales; Asteraceae.
AUGGCGUGUGGGACAAGUAAACUUGAUGUCCAAGUAUUUAACUUGGGGACCAAAGAGAAAACCAUUAUUGGAAGAGAAGAGGAAUUAAUUCAUUAGAGGUAUCAUCAAAGAAAGAAAGGUACGAACUCUCAAAUACGACAUGUUGACUUUUAUUAGUGUUCCGUUGAUUUUUGUGUCAAACAAACAAUUCAAUGAAGCUAGCAUUAUAUUCAAUGAACUUUAUUUUUCAAAAAAAAAUAUUUUUAACCAUAAACUAAUCUACUUUUAAAUACUCCUCCUGUAUAUAAUAUUAAUAUUAAUUUAAUAAAACAAACAUGUUAUGAUAGAAACUCAAAAAGCAUAUAAGAAAUCUAACAACUAAUCCUGCUGGUGCAUGUAG